CGCACAUUGCGCCCUUUGGUAUUCCGAAGGGCAUGCCUGUUCGAGCGUCAUUAUCACCCCCUCAAGCCCGGCUUGUUGUUGGAUCUCAGGUCACGAACCCUCGGGCGUCGACCGGUCCCAAAGAUAAUGACGGCGUCUGUGGAGGACUCCAGUACACUGAGCUUUAACCGGCACGUACUUGGCCAGGAAUCCAGACCCGGUCUCUUAUUUUUUUUAAUCUAGGUUGACCUCGGAUCAGGUAGGAAUACCCGCUGAACUUAA
RNAcentral lists this unclassified non-coding RNA (261 nucleotides) under Chaetothyriales sp. RNAcentral describes it as "partial contains 5.8S ribosomal RNA, internal transcribed spacer 2, and large subunit ribosomal RNA". Lineage: Eukaryota; Fungi; Ascomycota; Eurotiomycetes; Chaetothyriales. The record is from RNAcentral.